RNAcentral lists this transfer RNA (60 nucleotides) under Proasellus racovitzai. Its description in RNAcentral is "transfert RNA-Q(CAA)". The record is from RNAcentral. Lineage: Eukaryota; Metazoa; Arthropoda; Malacostraca; Isopoda; Asellidae.
UAUCUUUAAGUGUUUGGCACGUAAACUUUUGAUGUUUGAAGAAGAUUAGUCUAAAGAUAA